This 666-nucleotide unclassified non-coding RNA is filed under the name Meyerozyma guilliermondii. RNAcentral's name for it is "sequence contains 18S rRNA gene, ITS1, 5.8S rRNA gene, ITS2, 28S rRNA gene". The stretch from base 213 to 366 matches the Rfam family "5.8S ribosomal RNA". Lineage: Eukaryota; Fungi; Ascomycota; Pichiomycetes; Serinales; Debaryomycetaceae. The record is from RNAcentral.
UCGUAACAAGGUUUCCGUAGGUGAACCUGCGGAAGGAUCAUUACAGUAUUCUUUUGCCAGCGCUUAACUGCGCGGCGAAAAACCUUACACACAGUGUCUUUUUGAUACAGAACUCUUGCUUUGGUUUGGCCUAGAGAUAGGUUGGGCCAGAGGUUUAACAAAACACAAUUUAAUUAUUUUUACAGUUAGUCAAAUUUUGAAUUAAUCUUCAAAACUUUCAACAACGGAUCUCUUGGUUCUCGCAUCGAUGAAGAACGCAGCGAAAUGCGAUAAGUAAUAUGAAUUGCAGAUUUUCGUGAAUCAUCGAAUCUUUGAACGCACAUUGCGCCCUCUGGUAUUCCAGAGGGCAUGCCUGUUUGAGCGUCAUUUCUCUCUCAAACCCCCGGGUUUGGUAUUGAGUGAUACUCUUAGUCGGACUAGGCGUUUGCUUGAAAAGUAUUGGCAUGGGUAGUACUAGAUAGUGCUGUCGACCUCUCAAUGUAUUAGGUUUAUCCAACUCGUUGAAUGGUGUGGCGGGAUAUUUCUGGUAUUGUUGGCCCGGCCUUACAACAACCAAACAAGUUUGACCUCAAAUCAGGUAGGAAUACCCGCUGAACUUAAGCAUAUCAAUAAGCGGAGGAAAAGAAACCAACAGGGAUUGCCUUAGUAGCGGCGAGUGAAGCGGCA